AGGGUGUAAACGCUGCAGACUUGGUGUUGGGAACCCUUCGGGGGUGGCUCAGUGCCGGAGAGAAGUUGUUAAGUCUGCUACUUGGGGAGGUACGUCCGCAAGGAUGAAACUUAAAGGAAUUGGCGGGGGAGGCACCGCAACGGGAGGAGCGUGCGGUUUAAUUGGACUCAACGCCGGGAAGCUCACCGGAUAAGACAGCGGAAUGAUUGCCGGGCUGAAGACUCUGCAUGACUAGCUGAGAGGUGGUGCAUGGCGUAGACGUCU
RNAcentral lists this ribosomal RNA (264 nucleotides) under uncultured archaeon. RNAcentral's name for it is "partial 16S ribosomal RNA". It matches the Rfam family "Archaeal small subunit ribosomal RNA", at positions 748 to 1009 of the family's 1478-position model. The record is from RNAcentral.